This 339-nucleotide unclassified non-coding RNA is filed under the name soil metagenome. RNAcentral's name for it is "partial contains 5.8S ribosomal RNA, internal transcribed spacer 2, and large subunit ribosomal RNA". The stretch from base 1 to 120 matches the Rfam family "5.8S ribosomal RNA", at positions 35 to 154 of the family's 154-position model. The record is from RNAcentral.
GAUGAAGAACGUAGCGAAAUGCGAUACGUAGUGUGAAUUGCAGAAUUCAGUGAAUCAUCGAAUCUUUGAACGCACAUUGCACCUCUCGGUAUUCCGGGAGGUAUGCCUGUUCGAGCGUCAUUUGUACCCUCAAGCUCUGCUUGGUGUUGGGUGUUUGUUCCGCCUCUGUGUGUGAACUCGCCUCAAAACAAUUGGCAGCCGGCGUACUUGUUUCGGAGCGCAGCACAUUUUGCGAUCCAGAUCAACGUACAGCGGCAUCCAAGAAGCCUUAUUUAACGCUCUUGACCUCGGAUCAGGUAGGAAUACCCGCUGAACUUAAGCAUAUCAAUAAGCGGAGGA